UUCAUGGAGGAGACACUGCUCUUCUUGUGGCCUCUGCAUCCUCAAAGAUGUCAUGGCUAAAUCCACGUGGUAUGACUGCCAGCCAUGGUCCCCUGUUAACAGUAGCAAACUCAUUCUCAUCUCCGCAAGUGUCCUUAAACAAGAACUGUGAGGCUGCAUGGGUGGGCUUAACCUGCUCCAGAAAGGGACAGUCACUCCAACCAAGGACAGACUUUGCUCAUUUGGCUCCAGAUGCUCCAUCCUGCUGCACAAGUGCCCCUUUGCCUGAAUGUGCAUUUGCUGUUUCUGUGACGAGGCAAGGACUCUGAAGCUGUGGUCCCCAGGAUGGGGAAAGCAGUUGAGAUUUCUAGCCGAGGAUGAGACCUAUAUUUCCAACAGACCUUGCGAUGGAAGUCCUCGAUGGUGGGAGUGUACUGAUCCUCGAAGCGGCCGUUGAGGAAGCGUGAGACGAUGGAGCUUUUCCCCACCCGGGACGCUCCCAGCACCACCAUGCGGUACGAGUUC
Molecule: long non-coding RNA, 504 nt
Organism: Onychostruthus taczanowskii (white-rumped snowfinch)
Lineage: Eukaryota; Metazoa; Chordata; Aves; Passeriformes; Passeridae
Exons: 4
Source: RefSeq, a predicted model, not a curated record